AGCAAAACAAUACAACGGGCUCCGUUGCUCCUGGGGGUCCAGUGUCCAGUUAUAGUACUGUCCUGACUGCCGUCCUGGUGGCCGCCAUGUCCAGUCUCUGCGCUUUGUUUCAUUAAGACUGAUCGCUAUGCGACCUCCUUCACUUCAGCUUUAACAGCUUGGAACAUCCCAGAAAAUAUAUAUUAAUUGGACCAGGCUUGUGUGAACAAAUCUUGAUGUGCUACAUGUGAUGUACAACAGACUCGAUCUACACCUCAGUGGAGGCACUUCAGGUCAAAAGGAACAGUUUUUGCUGCAGACAUGUUGUUGUUGUUGUUCAGGUGCAGCCUGCAGGUAGCUUAAAUUAACAUACAAGUUCUUUAUAAGACAACAGGAAGUUACAGGCUCUGAGCAGUCAGCAUGUAGUAACAUAGAUCUCCAUAAGACCAGAGGAAGAUACCUGCCGGGAACAGUCAAUAUGGACACCAACCACAGAGAACACAGUAAUAACAGGUCUAAGCUCCCCUCUUGAUAACAAGGGUAUAUCCGUUUGAUUUGAAGCACCAUAUUUAUGUGAAAGAGAAUGAAUGAAUGGUACUUGAACUAUCAGCCACUUAAUUUAACAGCAUUUCUCUCAAGAAUUAACUAUAAAACUGUUCAUAGAAUGUCAGAAAGCAGCAAAAAAUGUUCCUUUUUAGCCUUUCAUGGUAUUUUAAUAACUUAUUUUUAAUAUUGUCAUAGAUUUUAAAAUGAUACAUUUUAUUGUCAAGAAAAACUUAUUGUUUUACAGGUAAAAGUGAUAAUUCCCUUAUAUUUUAUUAAUAGUACAUACUGUUUUUUUCCAUGAAUGUAAAACAAAACCUUUUUUAUUCAAAAAAAAUGUGUGCAAUUUGUAAUGUACUUAGAACAUAUUCAGUUCUUAAAUAACUGAACUUUGAAUGUUGAGAUUCCGCUAUCUAAUUUUAGCACUGUCGAUUGGUGUUUCUUAAUGCUGUAAUAUAUGGCUACAUAACAUGCUUGACCAGCGUUCCAAGCCACUUGACCAAACCUGCUACAACCAUGGGGAAUGAGCACCACCAGAACAUUCUCUGCUCUCAGGGAUGACAAUGAGCCAUUAAUUCAACCUUUAGGAAACGAACAGAUACGAUUAUAUGAAGCAAAUUGAUUUGGAUUGUAGCUUUUCUUAAUUGUUUAAAUGGAUGGAAAUUUCAAAUGAUUUUAUUGCUUUGUCUCCUUGAAUAUGUUCAGUAUCCUAUUGUAUUGAUCCUCACUUGCCAGCUGCCGGCUUUCACAUUUGCAUAUCUGGAAUAAAUGUUCUUUGUCCUACUGCUA
RNAcentral lists this long non-coding RNA (1311 nucleotides) under Lingula anatina. Its description in RNAcentral is "uncharacterized LOC106168734". Lineage: Eukaryota; Metazoa; Brachiopoda; Lingulata; Lingulida; Lingulidae. The record is from RNAcentral.